Molecule: ribosomal RNA, 121 nt
Filed under: Dyella japonica
Lineage: Bacteria; Pseudomonadati; Pseudomonadota; Gammaproteobacteria; Lysobacterales; Rhodanobacteraceae
Source: RNAcentral
UCCCUGGCGGCUAUAGCGCUGUGGCCCCACCCGAUCCCAUCCCGAACUCGGAAGUGAAACGCAGCUGCGCCGAUGGUAGUGUGAAUUCUCAUGCAAGAGUAGGUCACCGCCAGGGGCUUUA